GAUAGCUCAGUCGGUAGAGCAGAGGACUGAAAAUCCUCGUGUCCCUGGUUCGAUUCCUGGUC
RNAcentral lists this transfer RNA (62 nucleotides) under Clostridium thermopalmarium DSM 5974. RNAcentral describes it as "tRNA-Phe". It matches the Rfam family "tRNA", at positions 6 to 65 of the family's 71-position model. From Rfam's summary of the family: Transfer RNA (tRNA) molecules are approximately 80 nucleotides in length. Their secondary structure includes four short double-helical elements and three loops (D, anti-codon, and T loops). Lineage: Bacteria; Bacillati; Bacillota; Clostridia; Eubacteriales; Clostridiaceae. The record is from RNAcentral.